Molecule: ribosomal RNA, 666 nt
Filed under: Hepatozoon canis
Lineage: Eukaryota; Apicomplexa; Hepatozoidae
Description: SSU rRNA
Rfam family: Eukaryotic small subunit ribosomal RNA
Source: RNAcentral
AUACAUGAGCAAAAUCUCAACUUUAUUAGAAGAGACGCAUUUAUUAGAUAAAAAGCCAGUUCAUGCUUUUACAGUAUGAAAAUUGGUGAUUUAUAAUAACUUAGCAAAUCGCAAAGUGAAAACAGGCGAUAAAUCAUUCAAGUUUCUGACCUAUCAGCUUUCAACGGUAUGGUAUUGGCUUACCGUGGCAGUGACGGUUAACGGGGGAUUAGGGUUCGAUUCCGGAGAGGGAGCCUGAGAAACGGCUACCACAUCUAAGGAAGGCAGCAGGCGCGCAAAUUACCCAAUUCUAACAGUUUGAGAGAGGUAGUAACAAGAAAUAACAAUACAAGGCAGUUAAAAUGCUUUGUAAUUGGAAUGAUAGAAAUUUAAACCCUUUUUAAAGUAUCAAUUGGAGGGCAAGUCUGGUGCCAGCAGCCGCGGUAAUUCCAGCUCCAAUAGCGUAUAUUAAAAUUGUUGCAGUUAAAAAGCUCGUAGUUGAAGUUCUGCUGAAAGUAACCGGUCUGCUUUUAAUAAAAGUGGUAUCUUGGUAUGUAUUUAGCAAUGAUGUCCUUUGAAGUGUUUUUUACUUUAUUGUAAUAAAGCAUAUUCAGGACUUUUACUUUGAGAAAAUUAGAGUGUUUCUAGCAGGCUGACGCUUUGAAUACUGCAGCAUGGAAUAAUAAG